GGGGCUCCGCUCGGCGGGCGGGGCGGUGCCCGGCCAGGUGAGGGCGGUGGCGGCGGCGGCGGCUGCGGGCGGGGGACGGAGCUGUGAGGGGGCGGGCUGGGUGCUUGCGGGGCUUCUGUGGGCUGUUAAUAAACAGGGGGGCUGCGGGGCUUGUUGAGGUGCUGGGGAGGUGUUGCCUGCAAAAGGGGCUUGCGUCUUGCCUCGGUGGCGUGUGGCUCUCUGCCGUGGAUGGCUUUACCCAUUCUCAGCCUUGCCCUCCUCCUUUCCCAGGGGAGCCUGGUGCUUUCUUCCACCAUCCCGCAGUGGUCCCUCCGGUGAGCAGCGGCUGUUGGCGGUGGCAGGACCAGGUCCCUGACCUCAGCUGCCUGCCCUUCCCUUUGCUGGAGCUCAUCCCCUCCGAGACCAGCUGGCAGAGCUUCCCUCUGUUCCCCCAUGGUUGCCUUGCUCGUCCUGACGUGUCCGCAUUGGUGAGAAGAUUGGGUAUACCCUGUAGAAGACCUCAAACUGGAUCUCAAACCCCGUACAUCUAGGAUCUUGAGAACUGGAAAGAAGCAAGGACCAUUUGGCCAAGUCGGAGUUGGAGGUGGCUGUUGCAGGUGACAUCCAAGACCAGUUCCAGAUGCACACAAAAAUGGAUUUGCCUUUGUGGCCCCAGUGGCAGUGUGAACCACAAAGCUGUGCUUCAGAUAUGGCGUGUGCCCAGCUUUGCCCUUAGAGCGACUGGGUGUCAGUUUGAAAG
Molecule: long non-coding RNA, 739 nt
Filed under: Anser brachyrhynchus (Pink-footed goose)
Lineage: Eukaryota; Metazoa; Chordata; Aves; Anseriformes; Anatidae
Description: lncRNA (ENSABRG00000007919.1)
Source: RNAcentral